Pseudopipra pipra is the source of this 2936-nucleotide long non-coding RNA. RefSeq lists it as uncharacterized. The transcript is spliced from 6 exons. Lineage: Eukaryota; Metazoa; Chordata; Aves; Passeriformes; Pipridae. The record is from RefSeq and is a predicted model, not a curated record.
AAAAACAGCCUGUAACCAUUUGCUGCCUUGGCUAGAUGGUGCAAGGGCAGCCUUUAAGCAGCUAAAGCAUUCCCUGAGGAGAGCUCUGGGUCUGCCAGAUGUGUCAGAACUGUUGGAAGCAUCUUUGGUGGGGAGGGCAAACAAAGGCCAAGGUGUGCAGUGACCCCCCUGACAAGGGACUUUGAGUUAAUGGCAUCCCUGCAAGUGAACUUUGUGGGCUGUUCUCCCUGUAGGCCAGGUGACAGUCCCAGCUACAGUGAUGGGAAAAAUGGUUAAAAGACAGCCCCAAAAGCUGGAAAUCCUCCUGGAGGCUCUUGGCCAACAGAGUUUCCUGAGUUGCCCCUGAAAGAAGGACAGUGACAGCUUUUGAGUGCUGGUAGAUGCUUUUAAUAGAUAGCCUUGAGUGUGUCCUUGUUGCACCAGUAGGCCUUGUCAAAGUCCCCAUCUUCCAGGAGAUAUACCUAUUAAAGUUCCAAAUGCUCUCCAUAAUCCUUUGUUGGCUUGAGGCUCUCCCCUCAGGAACUGCAGGAACUCCUGGUGCCGCCUGGGCCGAUGGAUUGGACGCCCCAGCCCCUCCGUUCCUGCCCAGCCCCUGGGGCCGUGUCCAGUGGUGGCACUGCCAGCCCUGCAGGGGAAGUGGGAAGGGCCUUUCCAGUGGGAUGGAGCCUGGAAACUGCACAGAGCUGAGCCAAGGGAUUGAAAGGGACCAACCAAGGGAGGUGAAGAAAGAAGGAAGAAGGGAACUGAGGCAGUAGACAAGCACCUCUAAGUUACACUGUAAACAGGUGAGUUGUCUUGAAAUUCCUAAGACAGGCACUGAGGACUUUGAGGGCUCCAGACAGAGCAGACCUGGGAAGGCCCUCGGUGAAGCCCCUUGGAAACCUUCUAAGGGUAGGUGUGUAUGGUAGUGAGUGUUGGAGAAUGCCCUGAAUGUGGAACAGGAAUGUAGAGAACAAAAAGGAAUCCUCCUGUAAUGCUGCCAUAUCAGCUACAGUGGAGAUGGCUGUGUGUGCCCUUUGGGAGCUGAUUGCCAGGGCACCUGGCGGUCUGGAAUGAUUGAAGAGCAGAGGAAUAGAAGGUUGCCUGGCUUCUAAACCUCUCCAACUGAGUCUUAGAGACUUCUUUGAAGAGCUGAUUUCAGGCAGCAGAAUUGGCCCCCAGGAGGGACUCUGUGCCUGCUCUCCCGUGGCUCCAAGGGAUCUCUGGCCCUUCACGCCGGCACCGAGAUUUUCUCGGGAAGGGCCUCAGAUCCCCGGACCAGUCUGGGACACAGGCAAGAUCCCCCUGCAUUUUGGGACCGAAUGGACCCCCUGGAGGGACAGUGCUGUUGGUGCCCCCGGGUUGGGGCACCCCGAGGACUCCAGCGCGCACCGAAAGGAUUAUUCGGGGAGAUCCUCGGGGUGCCCGGCCCUGGGGAGCUCAAAGCAAGGUCCCUGCCAUGGAUUCAGGCAUUGCUGAGAGUAUCCCAGGGGUCCCUGUCCGUGCUAGACAUGGAGCUCUCUAAUGGGCUGGAAUUGGGUGAUAAAAGUGGUGCUCCAAGUGCCAAAGAAGUGUGGGAUUGGGAUUAAGAAAUGAGCAGUGAGGGUCCAAUUGGCUGUUUUCUCUUGAAUGUCACUGUAAGAGCUGCAGGAGUGCCCGGUGUGUGUUCCAGUCCCCAGCAUUUGGUUUGCACAUGUCCUGGUCAGACACAGGUCCAACUUCCUCAGUCCUUAACCCAGUAGAGGGAGAAUGAAGGACUGGCAGUGUUAAGGUGAUUGGUGUGACAGGGGUUAAACUGGGAAAACAUCGGGGAAUUCCUCAGUUUCCCUAUUUGCCAAACUCACCCAACCCUGUGCUAGGAAGAGAUUGAGUGGAAAAGUUGAGGCAGAAAUGAAAUUGAAAACUGGGGAUGUUGAAACAGUAAUUGCUGGAACUAAAUGUGUCCAAGCAGCAGCUCUUGUUGUGCAGGGAAUAACUCCUGUCAGCAGCAAGGUCCUGACUGAAGUGGCAGCUGCAGUUGUUCCUGUGGUGUGGGCCAGUGGACUUCCAGGAGAGUGGAAGAGGGCAGAACCUGAUGUGAAUGCAAGAACCUGCCAAGAAAAGCAAUGGCCAAGAUGAUUGAUGAGUGCAGGACCUGAGAGAACCACCUUGAAUGACAAUCUCGAGGAGUUUCCAGUAUUGGAUUUAAAAGAUGGUCUUUGCUGCAUCUCCUUGAGCAAGGAAAGCCAAGAAACCUUUGCUUUUGAAGGAGAAAAUCUGGGAAGCAGGGAAAGGAAGAAGAGAAGCCCCCUGACUCCUCCCUGAGCCCCAGACAACCCCUGAACUGCCUUCCUGGGAAUGGUAGGACGGGCUGGACUCUGGAUUGCUCCCUCUGGAUGUGUGGCUCUCCCCUCAGGAACUGCAGGAACUCCUGGUGCCGCCUGGGCCGAUGGAUUGGACGCCCCAGCCCCUCCGUUCCUGCCCAGCCACUGGGGCCGUGUCCAGUGGUGGCACUGCCAGCCCUGCAGGGGAAGUGGGAAGGGCCUUUCCAGGUCUUGUGGAUCACAUUGAUAGCAUGGGAUGGAGCCUGGAAACUGCACAGAGCUGAGCCAAGGGAUUGAAAGGGACCAACCAAGGGAGGUGAAGAAAGAAGGAAGAAGGGAAGUGAGGCAGCAGCCAAGCAGCCCCAAGUUCCUGUGUAAGCAGGUGAGUUGUCUUGAGGUUCCUCAGGCAGGCACUGAGGACUUUGAGGGCUCCAGACAGAGCAGACCUGGGAAGGCCCUCGGUGGAGCCCCUUGGAAACCUUGUAAGGAAACUCUGGAUCCUGGCCAUCCUCACAGCCCUUGUGGUCCCUCUGGGCGAUGCUGUUGGCCCGGGCAGUUCCCUGGAAAAGGUGCCUGGGUCGGGUGACUUGGUUCGAUUUGGAUGGAGAUGGAAAAGCAGCUCCAAACCAGGUCCCCAGGACAAGGUGAGCUGGG